AUUGAACGCUGGCGGCAGGCCUAACACAUGCAAGUCGAACGGAAGAAGAGUGCUUGCUUGUGGUUUCAGCGGGGGACGGGUGGGUGAUGCCGGGGAAUAUCCCUGGCUGUGGUUUCGAACGUCUGGAAGCGGGCGCUAAUACGGCAUAAGUGCAGAGGGAGCACGGGGGGGAGCUUCGGACCUCACGCUCUCAGGUGAGCGUAUGUGGGGUUGGCUGGUUAGUGGGGUAACGGGCUACCAAGGCGACGAUCCGUGACUGGUCUGAGAGGAUGAUCGGUCACACUGGAACUGAGACACGGUCCAGACUCCUACGGGAGGCAGCAGUGGGGAAUAUUAGACAAAGGGCGAAAGCCUGAUCCAGCCAUGCCGCGUGUGUGAAGAAGGCCUUCGGAUUGUAAAGCACUUUUAUUUGGGAGGAAGAGCAGUAGGUUAAUACCUUGCUGUUUUGACGGUACCAACAGAAUAAGCACCGGCUAACUUCGUG
Molecule: ribosomal RNA, 484 nt
Filed under: uncultured bacterium
Lineage: Bacteria
Description: partial 16S ribosomal RNA
Rfam family: Bacterial small subunit ribosomal RNA
Source: RNAcentral